This 111-nucleotide long non-coding RNA is filed under the name Mus musculus (house mouse). RNAcentral's name for it is "predicted gene, 56955". Lineage: Eukaryota; Metazoa; Chordata; Mammalia; Rodentia; Muridae. The record is from RNAcentral.
CCACCGGACUCCCCCUAGGCGUUUGCUGUGUGGUUAUUAUUUUUUCUUUUUCCAAAAAGCUCUGCCAUCUGUCAUUUGCAUGUUUAAAAAAAAAGUUUUCCCCAUCAAAAA